Mandrillus leucophaeus (drill) is the source of this 2494-nucleotide RNA transcript. It is a transcript of the gene named E3 ubiquitin-protein ligase TRIM68 pseudogene, with no coding region annotated. NCBI's taxonomy places the organism in Eukaryota, Metazoa, Chordata, Mammalia, Primates, Cercopithecidae. The record is from RefSeq and is a predicted model, not a curated record. The transcript has a single exon.
AUGGAUCCCACAGCCUUGGUGGAAGCCAUUGUGGAAGAAGUGGCCUGUCCCAUCUGUAUGGCCUUCCUGAGAGAGCCCGUGAGCAUUGACUGUGGCCACAGCGUCUGCCACAGCUCCCUCUCCGGACUGUGGGAGAUCCCAGGAGAAUCCCAGAACUGGGGUUACACCUGUCCCCUCUGUCGAGCUCCUGUCCAGCCAAGGAACCUACGGCCUAAUUGGCAGUUGGCCAAUGUUGUAGAAAAAGUCUGUCUGCUAAGGCUAUAUCCAGGAAUGGGGCUGAAGGGUGAUCUGUGUGAGCACCAUGGGGAGAAACUGAAGAUGUUCUGCAAAGAGGAUGUCCUGAUAAUGUGUGAAGCCUGCAGCCGGUCCCCACAGCAUGAAGGCCACAGUGUUGUGCCAAUGGAGGAUGUUGCCUGGGAGGACAAGUGGGAACUUCAUGAGGCCCUCGAACAUCUGAAGAAAGAGCAAGAAGAGGCCUGGAAGCUGGAAGUUGGUGAAAGGAAACGAACUGCCACCUGGAAGAUACAGGUGGAAACCCGAAAACAGAGUAUUUUAUGGGAGUUUGAGAAAUACCAGUGAUUACUAGAGAAAAAGCAGCCACCACAUCGGCAGCUGGAGGCAGAGGUAGCAGCAGCUCUGGCCAGCCUACAAUGGGAGGCGGCGGAGACCAUGCAGAAACUGGAGUUGAACCAUAGUGAGCUCAUCCAGCAGAGCCGGGUCCUGGGGAGGAUGAUUGCAGAGUUGAAAGAGCGGUCGCAGAGGCCUGUCGGCUGAAUGUUGCAGGAUAUUCAGGAAGUGUUAAACAGGAGCAAAUCUUGGAGCUUGCAGCGGCCAGAACCAAUCUCCCUGGAGUUGAAGACAGAUUGCCGUGCGCUGGGGCUAAGAGAGAUCCUGAAGACCUAUGCAGUUGACGUGCGCCUGGAUCCAGAUACUGCUUACUCCCGUCUCAUCGUGUCUGAGGACAGAAAACGUGUGCACUAUGGAGACACCAACGAGAAACUGCCAGACAAUCCUGAGAGAUUUUACCGCUAUAAUAUUGUCUUGGGAAGCCAGUGCAUCUCCUCAGGGCGGCACUACUGGGAGGUGGAGGUGGGAGACAGGUCUGAAUGGGGCCUGGGAGUAUGUAAGCGAAAUGUAGACUGGAAGGAGGUGGUCUACUUGUCCCUCCGCUAUGGAUUUUGGGUGAUAAAGCUGAGGAAGGGAAAUGAGUACCGAGCAGGCACCGAUGAGUACCCCCUCCUAUCCUUGCCAGUCCCUCCUCGCCGGGUGGGAAUUUUCAUGGAUUAUGAGGCCCAUGACAUUUCCUUCUACAAUGUGACUGACUAUGGCUCCCACAUCUUCGCUUUCCCCCGCUAUCCCUUCCCUGGGCGCCUCCUACCCUAUUUUAGUCCUUGCUACAGCAUUGGACCCAACAACACUGCUCCUCUGGCCAUCUGCUCCCUGGAUGGGGAAGACUAAGAGGGCUACCGUCCUAACCAGAGAGGCCUUGGAAUUGGGCCUGGCCCCCAUGGGGCUUGGAGGACCCAGCCACUGACAGGUAUCUCCUGAAACUGACCUGAGCUCAGAAUCCAAGGAUUCCUCUGUCUGAUCCUUUGGUCAUUGCUACCAGGCUGAAGUCUGUCAUGAAACCACUUAUUUUAAAAAGCAGAGGCCCAGUCAAAUGAGCACUGCACCCCAUGAGGGAAGUGUGACAGGGCUGAUGGUGAGGAUCAGACCAGUUCUAAGGUGACUUGUUGGGGUAAGGAUCAGGACUUUGUCCGUGGAGUAGCCAACCCCCCUCUUCCCUUAUUCCUGUCCGGUGUCACAGUUAAGUCAGUGAGGAUGAUGAAGUAGACACAAUCUUCAGGACACCAUCAGAUAGGCUUUCCCAAUAGGCCAAAAAAAUGCUGCCCAUACCCAGAGCUGGUUGUUGUGCUGCGGCCAGUCAGAGGAUGCUUCCCCUGAGGUUUGCUACAACUAAGCAACCUUUAUGUGACCCGCACACUCUGACCACCUGGCAAGAGAAAUUCAGUGCAGCAGGGGGACACAGACCCACCCAAGCCACCCCACUGCCGAUCCCUCUCUGAGCACAAGCUGGGCAAAUCACUGUCCCUUGGACUCCCAGGAAACCAGUGUCCUAGUCCUGCUUUUUUUCUCUAAGUGGCAGGAUCAGAAAACCUGUUAGCCUUAGUUUGUAUUUUCACUUUAUGAAUGAGGAAACUGAAAUGGCCUUGAUGGAGCAAGUUAUUUCUUUUUUCUUUUCUUUUCUUUUUUUUUUUUUUUUUGAGAUGGAGUCUCGCUCUGUCACCCAGGCUGGAGUGCAGUGGCACAAUCUCGGCUCACUGGCAGCUCCGCCUCCUGGGUUCACGCCAUUCUCCUUCCUCAGCCUCCUGAGUAGCUGGGACUACAGGCACCUGCCACCACGCCCGGUUCAUUUUUUUGUAUUUUUAGUAGAGACGGGGUUUCACCAUGUUAGCCAGGAUGGUCUCGAUCUCCUGACCUCGUGUGCCACCAU